AUGAACGCUGGCGGCGUGCUUAACACAUGCAAGUCGAGCGGAGAAUAUUAAGUUGAGAGCUUCGGCAGGAUUCUUAAUAAUCUUAGCGGCGGACGGGUGAGUAACGUGUGGGCAACCUGCCCUGUACUGUGGAAUAAUCACUGGAAACGGUGACUAAUACCGCAUGUCAUCACGAGGAGGCAUCUCUUUGUGAGAAAAGGAUUUAUUCGGUACAGGAUGGGCCCGCAUCUGAUUAGCUAGUUGGUGAGAUAACAGCCCACCAAGGCAACGAUCAGUAGCCGACCUGAGAGGGUGAUCGGCCACAUUGGGACUGAGACACGGCCCAAACUCCUACGGGAGGCAGCAGUGGGGAAUAUUGCACAAUGGGCGAAAGCCUGAACCAGCCAAUGCCGCGUGCAGGAUGACGGCCCUACGGGUUGUAAACUGCUUUUCCCCGGGAAGAAUAAGCCCCUCGUGAGGGGUGAUGCCGGUACCGGGGGAAUAAGGAUCGGCUAACUCCGUGCCAGCCGCCGC
This 513-nucleotide ribosomal RNA is filed under the name uncultured bacterium. Its description in RNAcentral is "bacterial SSU rRNA". It matches the Rfam family "Bacterial small subunit ribosomal RNA", at positions 29 to 518 of the family's 1533-position model. The record is from RNAcentral.